This 32471-nucleotide long non-coding RNA is filed under the name Triticum aestivum (bread wheat). RNAcentral's name for it is "long non-coding RNA (TAES_LNC012896)". Lineage: Eukaryota; Viridiplantae; Streptophyta; Magnoliopsida; Poales; Poaceae. The record is from RNAcentral.
UGUUUUUCUUUUGGACCGCCACCCAGGUUCAAAGGGAUCAUGAGAUUAUUCAUGCUAGAAACUUCCGUGUGCAGCCGCAAGCUAUUAUGGGCUCUAGCAUAGUCGAGUAAGUUGUGGGAAACCUUUCCAUGAUGGGCUAGCAGAUGUAGGGGAUUGUAGGUGUAUUGGCCUAUCUAUCGGUUAAGGGGACCUCUUCGGAAAGACUGUGUCUCGGUCAUCCGUUUCUCAAACAUCAUGUAGUGCGAGAAUCAAGCGGAGGCGAUCGAGUCUUGUGGGAAAAGUGCACAAACCUCUGCAGAGUGUAUAAACUAAUCAUGGUUAGCCGUGUCCCCGGUUAUGGACGUUUUGAGUAUCUAGUAUCUGGAUUAUCAUGUGAAUCUCAUCACCAUGUUACUUUAAUUAAUUUUGUUGGGUUAAUGAUGAUAACUUAAUUGGGAUUGAGAUGAUGUCAACCAUCUCAAUGUUUAACAACCACCAUGAUAGUUAAAUAAAAUUUAUUCCUUUGCAGUAGGGAAAAAUUGGCUUUUCGCAAAACAGUAACCAUAGAGCUUUCCACCAGCCAAAUAUGCAUGUAGUUAUAGCAUCAUUCUGUUCAUUACUCUCUAUGUGUUAUUUUGCCAGCAUAUUCCAUGUGCUGACCCGUUUCGGGCUGCAACGUUUCAUGUUGCAGACUUUUCAGACGACGAGUAAGGUGCCUUAGGUCGUGGUCUUAUACUCAGUGAUGCCGUUGGAGUUAAUGGACUCACUUAUCUUCCAAGUCUUCCGCUGUUAUCAUAUUUAGAUGACCUUAAGCCAUAUUUAUCAUACUUAUUUAUCUUGUGAGAUACUCGUUGUAAUAAGUGUGUGAUUGCUACUCUGUAUAAAUCCUCCAUUUGUACUGUGCGUGUCAGCAUUACUGAUCCAGGGAUGACACUGGUGCACAGAAGCACAGAUUGUUUGAGGUCUGGUCGCUACAAAGGUGGUAUCAGAGCACACGUUCACUGUAGGACACGACCACUAAGUUUAAACCCUAGAACACUACUCUCUUCUCAUUUCUUACUCCUCUCCAUUUUCUACUCUUUUAGGAAUGGCGGAUGCAAGGAACAAGUUCAUGCAACCAGAUGAAGAUACACCCUUUGGAUGCCACUUGAAGGAAGUCACUAGAUACCUAAACAUCGGAAUUCCAAGCUUCACCAGAACCUACAACGCCACACUACCAGAAGAAGAGCGCUGGAAGAUUCAAGUUCAAGUUCCAGGAAGGACGUUUACGCCAGUCACUGAGCCUAUAGAGUUUUCCUUUGAUGCACCAACCUGGAGUUUAGGGAAGAGCAUGGCAGCCCACAUCUCUAUGGGACGCAUUGGAGAAGUGUACCACAGGGAGCUUAAGGAUACUAUCUACCAGAUUUGUGGACGCCGAGAUGAGCAAUGGGAGAUGAUCAGCACCAAGAAGGAUGGAUCAAUUGCAGCUUUCAUCCAGGAGCAAAACCAACACAUUCAUCGCCAGGAGAACCAGAUGUGCGUAGACAUGAUAGGUCUAAAGAAGGCAUUGACCAAGAUCACGGAGUUGGAGGAAGAACUCAAGGCUACACGCGAUGGAUAUGAGGAGGAAAUCGCAACACUAUUGGAGAAAAAUGAAGACCUGAUAAAGAAGAUCGGAGUUUUCAUGGGAGACCCAGCACCUGGAGGACAAGACGACGAUUCUACUUGCCCGGAUAACUACAUCAUCAUCGACGACACCGACUUGGACCCAAGUGAAGAUGACUAUGUUGAUGAAGCUGGAGCAGAUAUCAUGGAGUCUUCGGCUGAUCAAAAUUUCUAGUAGACCACCAUAAUCAGUAGUAGUAUUUUCCCCCAUGUAUAUAGUAUAGUCCGAGCACGUAGUAACGACAGUUUGAUCGAUUGUAUGCCUUGUUGAUUGAGUGAUAUUGUUGGUGUUUGUCUCAUGAGCAUAUGGGUAGUGUUUUCUCUCUAGACCUCAUUCUAUUCUAUAUCUCAUCUUUUCUAAACCUAUCAGAUGCCUCCGAGAGGCGACACCGGAUUUGUUUUUCCACCGGAGAUCACUCAGUUGAUUCAGCAGCAGAAUGCACUGAUGCAAGUAUUAGUACAGAACCAAGGCAACAACAACAACAACAACAACAACCCACCACCACCUGUUGAUCACUUAACCCGUUUCUUGAGGCUAAAUCCGCCGGUGUUUUCCAGCAGCACCGAGCCGAUUGUUGCAGAUGAUUGGCUCCGCAAAGUUGGAAGGGAGUUGACCACUACAGGAUGCACAGAUGCGGAGAGAGUGCGUUUUGCCGCACAUCAGCUUGAUGGACCCGCAACAUCAUGGUGGGAGAAUUACACAGCCACACACCCUAUUGACACUGUCACAUGGGACCAGUUUCAGCAAGCUUUCCGUACUGCCCAUGUUUCAGCAGGAGCUAUGGCUAUGAAGAAGCGUGAGUUUCGCAACCUACGCCAAGGAGGACGCACCAUAGGCCAGUAUGUGGAGGACUUUAGUAAGUUAGCACGUUAUGCUCCAGAUGACAUUGCUACAGAUGCAGCCAAGCAGGAGAAUUUUCUGGAAGGACUGAAUGAUGAGCUGAGCUUGCAGCUGAUGGUAGCAACCUUCAACAACUACCAGGAGUUGGUAGAUAGAGCUCUCAUGAUUGAAGGGAAGCAGCAGCAGCUUGAAAACCGUAAGAGGAAGUAUGGACAAGGGAAGUACAAUUCUGGAGCUCAGCAGAAGCCACGUUUUACCCCGAAAUCGGGAGGACAUUUUCAGCAUACCCAUGGAGGAGGUAGUUCGCACAACCAUAAUGGCCCCAAGAAUGGCAAUGGGAAUGGAGGAAGCAAUGGCCAGAACCGUACCAACCCUUCAACCCCAGCUAAGAGAGACCUGAGCCAAGUCACUUGCUUUAAGUGCCAGAAGACUGGACAUUAUGCCAAUGAAUGUCCUGAAGCCCAGAAUGGAAAUGGCAAUGGAAGCUCUGGGAAGAAGCCGAACCCUUUCAACAAAGGACAUGUGAACCACGUUAGCGUGGAAGAGGUUGAAGCUCAGCCAGAUGCAGUAAUAGGCAAGUUUUUGGUUAAGUCAUUUACUGCACUCGUUCUUUUUGAUACUGGUGCAUCGCAUUCAUACAUAUCAAGGGGAUUUGUGGAUAAGUAUAAACUGCCCACCAAGGUUCUUAAAACACCUAUGUUAGUAAGUUCACCAGGAGCAGAGUAUAUGGCAAGCCAAGGAUGUUUUCAGAUGCCAUUGGCCAUAGGUAGGCAUGUUUUCCCCUCAGACUUGAUAAUCUUGGAGUCGCAAGGUUUGGAUGUAAUUUUGGGUAUGGAUUGGUUAUCGAAGUAUGGAGGGAACAUUGAUUGCGCCAGUAAGACGAUUUCUCUUACCACCCCAGAAGGAAGAAGGAUUAAGUAUGUAUCCCGGCAUGUGCCGAAGAGGACUCAAGUGAAUUCCUUAUCAGGCGUUGUACAGGAGGAAGUACCAGUGGUGAAGGAUUACCCGGAUGUAUUUCCAGAAGAGUUGCCAGGCAUGCCACCCGAUAGAGACAUCGAGUUUCUGAUCGAGCUUUUGCCAGGCACAGGACCAAUAUCUAAGAGACCGUACAGGAUGCCCGCAAAAGAUUUGGAGGAGAUUAAGAAGCAGAUUAAGGAGUUACUGGAUAAAGGCUAUAUUCGCCCAAGUUCGUCACCUUGGGGAUCGCCGGUACUUCUAGUGGAGAAGAAGGAUGGAUCAUUAAGGAUGGUCGUUGAUUAUCGUGGAUUGAAUGAAGUGACCAUCAAGAAUAAGUACCCACUGCCGAUGAUCAAUGAUUUGUUUGACCACUUACAAGGAGCUAAGGUAUUUUCCAAGAUCGAUCUACGAUCAGGAUACCAUCAGUUGAAGAUUCGAGAGCAGGAUAUACCAAAGACAGCUUUUACCACCAGGUAUGGGCUGUAUGAGUAUACCGUUAUGUCAUUUGGUCUGACUAACGCACCUGCCUAUUUCAUGAACCUGAUGAACAAAGUGUUUAUGGAGUUUUUGGAUAAGUUCGUCGUAGUGUUCAUUGAUGACAUUUUCGUCUACUCAAAGAAUGAAGAGGAGCAUAAGGAGCAUUUGCGUUUGGUACUUGAGAAGCUCAGAGAACAUCAGCUAUACACCAAGUUCAGCAAAUGUGAGUUUUGGCUGAAGGAAGUUGGAUUCCUCGGACACGUUAUAUCCGGAGAAGGAAUAGCAGUAGACCCCACCAAAGUUGACACAGUAACAAACUGGGAAUCACCCGCAUCAGUUGGAGAAAUCCGGAGUUUUCUUGGACUUGCAGGAUACUACCGGAGGUUCAUUGAGAAUUUCUCGAGGAUUGCUAAGCCCGUGACUGAGCUAUUGAAGAAAGACACCAAGUUCAAUUGGACUGAGGAUUGUGAAGCUAGUUUUCAGGAGUUGAAGAAACGUUUGGUUACAUCACCAGUGUUGAUCCUGCCAGAUCAACGCAAGGAUUAUGAAGUUUAUUGCGAUGCUUCUCGUCGAGGACUUGGAGCAGUGCUUAUGCAGGAGGGAAGAGUUGUUUCAUAUGCUUCACGACAACUUAAACCCCAUGAGAAGAAUUAUGCCACCCAUGAUUUGGAGUUAGCAGCCGUGGUACAUGCGUUGAAGACAUGGAGACAUUUUCUCAUCGGAAAUCACUGUGAGGUGUACACGGAUCACAAGAGUUUGAAGUACAUUUUCACGCAAAAGGAGUUGAAUCUCAGGCAAAGGAGAUGGUUGGAGCUCAGAAAGGAUUAUGAUAUGAGAUUGCAUUAUCAUCCCGGAAAGGCUAACGUAGUAGCAGACGCGUUGAGCCGCAAGAGCCAUGUCAACACACUCAUGACCGGAGAGGUACCGAAAGUAUUAGCCGAGGAUAUUCGCGAGCUAUGUUUGGAGAUAGUACCGAGAGGCUAUUUAGCAACGUUGGAGAUUCAGUCUACCUUGAUGGAAAAGAUCAGGGAAGCUCAAAAGACAGACAAGGAGAUUGAUGAGAUAAAGAAAAGGUUGAGCAAAGGAAAAGCCAAGGGAUUUCGCGAGGAUGAGCACGAUACCUUAUGGUUUGAGGACCGAGUUUAUGUGCCCAAUGAUCCGCAGAUCAGGAAGUUGAUCUUGCAAGAGGCCCAUGAUUCACCGUAUUCGAUUCACCCAGGAAAUACCAAGAUGUAUUUGGAUUUGAAGGAUACUUUCUGGUGGACCGGAAUGAAGAAGGAUAUUGCGGAGUAUGUAGCAGUUUGUGAUGUAUGUCAGAGAGUAAAGGCAGAGCAUCAGAAGGCAGCAGGAUUGCUACAGCCAUUGCCGAUACCCGAAUCGAAGUGGGAUAAACUAGGCAUGGAUUUUAUCACGGGAUUGCCCAGGACUCGUUCAGGCUAUGACUCGAUAUGGGUUGUAGUCGAUCGUUUGACGAAAGUAGCUCAUUUCAUCCCAGUGAAGACCACUUACACCAGUGCUAAGUUGGCAAAAAUAUACAUGACCAGAAUCGUAUGUCUGCAUGGAGUUCCGAGGACCAUUGUAUUAGAUAGAGGAACCCAGUUUACCUCGAAGUUUUGGAAUCAGUUACAUGAAACUUUGCGAACCAGGCUAGAAUUCAGUACAGCUUUUCAUCCACAGACAGAUGGACAGACCGAGAGAGUCAAUCAGAUUUUGGAGGACAUGUUGAGAGCUUGUGCGCUAGAUUAUGGAUCUAGUUGGGACGACAAUUUGCCGUAUGCAGAGUUUUCUUACAACAACAGUUAUCAAACCUGUUUGAAGAUGGCCCCUUUCGAAGCUUUGUACGGAAGGAGGUGUAGAACACCAUUGUUAUGGGACGAAGUUGGAGACCGCCAGUUGUUUGGACCAGAUUUGAUUAAAGAGUCCGGACGGAAAGUGAAGUUGAUUCGCGAUAGGCUCAAGGUAGCCCAAUCCAGGCAGAAGAGUUAUGCGGAUUCUAAACGCAAGGAGACAGUUCACGAAGUCGGAGACAGAGUUUAUCUUCGUGUAUCACCACUUCGAGGAGUGAAGCGCUUUGGAGUUAAAGGAAAGUUAGCGCCACGUUUUGUAGGACCAUACAAAGUAUUGGAGCGUAUGGGAGAAGUUGCUUACAAGCUGGAAUUGCCUGAAGGAUUGUCAGGAGUACAUGCUGUAUUUCACGUUUCCCAGUUGAAGAAGUGCCACGCAGAGAUGGCCGAGAUACCACUGAAAGAUACGGUGCCAUUGGAAGCGAUUCAGUUGGAUAGUGACUUGACCUAUGAGGAGAAACCAGUUAAGAUUCUCGAGUAUGCCAGCCGAGUCACCCGCAGCAAGGUUAUCAAGUUUUGCAAAGUUCAGUGGAGUCACCACACGGAAGAUGAAGCCACCUGGGAGCGAGAGGAAGAUCUAUGGAAGAACCACUCUCACCUAUUUUCCAGCCAACCCGAAUCUCGAGGGCGAGAUUCAUCUUAAGGGGGUGGUAGGUUUGUAACAUCCCAAAUUUUCAAUUUGGAAUGUUAUACAUUAGAUCAUCAUUGCAUAGCAUAUCUUAUUGCAUUUUGGCAAAUCCUUGAAAAUCCUAAGCAACUCAAGGACCCUCGGAGAGAGUUGGGGAUUUUGCCCGGUUUUCAUAUUUGAUUUUUAUCAAAUAAGUGAAACGAGGAUUUUUGGUUUUAAUUAUUUUUCUCUCCGAAAAUAUUUCAUAUUAAAAUAAAUGAGAGGAGAAAAUAUGACUUCUCCAAAAUAAUUGAAAUAUUGGAGGAAAAAUAUUAAAAUCAAAUAUUUGAUUUUAUUCGGAUUUUAUUUGCAAUUUUAUUUGCGUUAAAAAAAUUGCAUGUUUUAAAAACUGCAUUUUUAGGGCCAAGAAAAUGUUCACCUCGUUCUAAUUAUUUUGAUUAGGCAGUGAAAUUUUAUUUGGGCAAUUUUAGUUUUUUAUUUAUUUUUCUAUGAUUUUUUUUAGGUUCGGCGGAAUUAAUUUAAAAAAAACGCACGAGCGCCGACUGGGCCGAAGCCCAGCCUAGCCGCGCGAGCCGUCUCCCUCCCGGAGACCUAGCUCCCGCCGCCGCCCGAGUCCCGGUCGGGGACGACGCCGCCGCUGCCUUACCCCUCCCCCACGGCACCCCCCUCCUAUAUAUACCCCGCCACCCCGCCGCCUCCCUCACCCCGUUCCCUGCCUCGACCGAAGCCGCCGACGCCGGAGCUGACCCCGCCACCGAGAGGAGCUCGCCGCUUGUUGAGGAUAUAGACCUUAGAGUCACCCGCCCGGUGGGGCCGGGUUACUCAUAAGGGUCAUCGCCUGAAGCCCGGCGCCAAGCUUGAAGACGGUGGGCCAAAGAUGGGCUUAUGACCCGGUGACGGCUUAAGGCCCGUAGUCACAACCGCCUUUAGAUAGAACUUGUAGUAGGCAAGGAUAGUUGAGAGUCCGAGCUGGACACUCUUAUGAGCCGGCCGGGACUCUGAAAGCCGCUGGGUGUCAGCCUCUCUAUAUAAAGGGAAGACCCGGCAGUGGUUUAGGGACAAGGAAGAUCUCAUCAAGAGCCAGGCCUAGCAAUUAAGCUCCCUAGUCCUCGAAACCCUAAUCAAUACCACCUCAACUGGACGUAGGCUUUUACCUUCACCGUAAGGGGCCGAACCAGUAUAACCCUCGUGUUUCUUGUCCCGUUUAACCCCUUCAAGCUUCCUAGUUGCGAUGGCUCCACGACUAAGUCCUAGCUCGAGGACAUCUGCCGUGAUAAUUCCAGGACAGUUGGCGCCCACCGUGGGGCCAGCGCACGAUGGAUUUGAGUUCUUGAAGGGCAGCUUCGAAGGGCUCAAGGGAUACGCUAUGGGCCGGAUGACCAAGAGUCAUCGCGGCAAGCUCUACAUCGACGAUGCAAACUAGGGCCCUGACGCCGGCUCAAUUGAGUACGGAUACCGGGUCCCCUUCGGCGGAAUUCAUGCUUUCAUUGGCAAGAUUGGUGAGCCGGGCCCUGAGCCGGAUCUCUGCGCCGAUCUCGUCGAAACGGCUCAGCACGCACGACCCGCCCUGGCCCUGCCUGCCUUGAAGCAUGCUUUUGUGGGAUAUAUCCAUGGAGGGCUCUCCGACAGAUCUGGAUCUGGUGAUGAGACGGCCGCCGGCUCUGACGGCGAGUCGUCUACAGAUGAGUCAAACUCGUUGUAUCAACUUCAAGAUGGCAGGCUCAUGGGAUGUUCCGAUGGUGACAGCAUUCCGGACCCGUUUGAGCCGCCGAGCCGGGUUGGAAUCUUCAUGGCCGGUGCCCAGCCCGUUCAGAAUCCCACCGCCGGGUCAGGAAAUCCGGUGCCCUCGCCGGCUCAGGUGCUGAUGGAUCUCAUGGACAAGAUGACGGCCCUGUUAACCGCCACGGUUGACCCGGCGGAUCAAGCUCAGCAUGACGCGGAGGUGGCACAGUUAAAGUUAGAUCUAGUGAAAGCCAAGGAGGAUCUAGCAGCGGAAGGGAUCAGGAUGGCUGCGGAGAGGGCGGCUCUCGACGCCCAGACUCAGUUGAUUCAGGCGCAGUCCUUCCAGCUCACGAUGGAUCAGAACGCGUCCAACGAGGUCAUGAGAAGGAGGCAUCAAAAGGCCCAAUCACGACUCCCUCCGGUCUACGAUCCUCGGAACCUCUUCAACACGCCAGGUGCAGGGUCUAGUAACCCGCCGGGAGUCGUAGUGCCCGGGUCUGGGACCCCUGUUAUGGGGCCUCCCCGGGUGAACCCUGCCCCGCCUCAGUAUGUGCCAAUACCACCGGGUCAUUAUGCUAACCCGCUGGAAAACAUGGUCGCCGCAGCAGCAUGGCUGGCGGCUCUCCCAAUUGAUGGCGACUCUCCAACGGCUGUGGAAACCCGCCGGGUCAGAGAACUCCUUCAGACAGUGCUGGCACAGCAGGAGGCGUACUCUUACAGCUGAGACAGGAUCCAUUCAACCCCUCGUCCAGGCCGGAGCCCGAGUUAUAGCAGGCACAUGGUUUCUGCGCCCGGCUCAAGUAACGUCCGACGCCAUGACUUGCCACCUGGUCAUGGCCCGGCUCAUAACGAAGUCUUUCACGCGAUAGACCAAGACAGAGUGCGGCAAGGGGCGGAGCAGGUGCCUCAGUUGACGGCUUACCAGACGCCCCCGGCUUAUCCGACGGCUUCCAUCGACGUGGGUAUCCCUACAAGGACUGGGGGUGUCCCCUGUUUAGUGCCGGCCCUCCGCAACGAACGUCUACCCAAGGACUUCAAAGGGCCUAGGAAGGUGCCUAAUUACACGGCUGAUUUACAACCCGCAGCCUGGAUCGAGAGCUAUGAGAUGGCCAUGGAAUUGUUGGAGGUCAGUGAAGCGGCGAUGGCUAAGUACUUCACCAUGAUGUUAGAUGGGACUGCCCGCACUUGGUUGAAAGGGCUACCACCGAAUUCCAUCGGGUCUUGGGCUGAGCUGAAAGCCCGGUUCAUCCAGAACUUCAAAGAUACCUGUAGGCAGUCUAUGUCAAUUGUGGAUUUGAUUAACUGUAAACAGCAGGAGGGUGAGUCUACGACACAUUGGGUUCGCCGGGUCAAAGAGAUAAUACAUUCAUCUGAUAAGAUGGAUGCCGGCUCUACAGUCUUAAUGUUAGAGCAGAAUUGUCGCUUCCUGCCCCUGAAGAUGAAACUCGGGCGGCUCAAGCGCGACUGCAGUGAUAUGGGUACGCUGAUGGCGGCUCUCGUCAAGUACGCCGACUCUGAUAGUACCAAGGACCCCGCUUCAGAUGAUGAGAGGGCAGGGAAGGGAAGAAAGAACGGCAAUGGCAAGGGUCCUCAGCAUAACCCGGCAAACCAAGGGGGUAACAAGCGUAAGGCUGAUGGCAGUAUGGAGUUUGUGGCCAAUGCCAACUCACAGCGUAACAACCAGCGACGUAAAGGGAGGCCGCCUCCCCGAGCUGGCGGGUCAGGCCCAACGCUCGAGCAGUUGUUGAAUGAGCCUUGUCCAAGGCAUGGAUCCAGGGAGAAGCCAGCUACUCAUCUAUGGAAAGAUUGUGCCAUCAUGAAGGCCUUUAAGAACUCCAACGCUUUUAAUGCCAAUAAUGGCCCGGGCGGCGGCUCAGGCGCCGGCGGCUUUCAUGGCCCGGGCGGCGGCUCAAAUUCUAAUCCACAGAACGGUCAAGGGGGCUUUAAUCAGCAGUCUGGCCAGGGUCAUCAACAGCAGCAGGGGGGUUAUCAAACCAAUCCAAAGCAGCUUAACGGUGGACAGUAUCACAUAUUUACCACCAGUCUGUGUAAACGAGAUCAGAAGCUUCAUAAGAGGGCUGUGAAUGCGGUUGAGCCGGCGGUUCCGCGUUAUUUAAGAUGGUCUCAACAGCCUAUUGUGUGGAGUAGGGAGGAUCACCCUCCCCGGGUUGACAACCCGGGUCACUUGGCCUUGGUGGUGGCUCCUCAAGUGGGAGGAUAUAAGUUCACUAAGGUGCUCAUGGAUGGAGGCAGCAGUAUCAACAUCCUCUAUUAUGAGACUUUCCGUCGUAUGGGGUUGAUUGAUAAGAACCUCAGCUAGUCAAACACUGUUUUCCACGGUGUGGUGCCUGGUAAGUCGGCUUAUCCAGUUGGCAAAAUUGAGUUGGAAGUGGCCUUUGGAGACGAGUACAACUACAGGGUGGAAAAAUUGACCUUUGAGGUGGUCAAGAUAAGAAGUCCGUAUCAUGCCAUAUUUGGGCGGCCGGCUUACGCCAAGUUCAUGGCACGACCGUGUUACGUGUAUUUACAGCUUAAGAUGCCGGGUCACAAUGGGACCAUUACGGUUCACGGCAGCCGGAAGGUGGCUUUGGAGUGUUAGGAAGGCGAUGCGGCUUAUGCAGAAUCUGUUUGUGCAACAGAGGAGUUGAAAUUCUACAAGGACAAUGUUGACCUAACAGAUAUGACCUCUCUGAAAAAGCCGAGUACGGAGCAUGAGCCGGCAGUGAAAUUUAAGUCGGCGGAUGAGACUAAACUUGUUGAUUUCGUUCCAGGUGAUUCAUCUCAGCAGUUUAGCAUCAGUGCCAAUCUGGAUCCAAAAUAGGAAAGCGCGCUCAUCGAGUUCAUCCGUGAGAAUAGGGACAUUUUUGCAUGGAAACCUUCUGACAUGCCAGGUGUACCUAGAGAACUCGCUGAGCACACUCUCAAUGUUGAUCCGAUAUUCACUACAGGAAUCAGCUAUUUUGCCGUCUGCCACGGCGGACGGCAAAGGCAUGAACGGCGGACGGCAAAGGCCUUUGCCGUCCGCCGCGGACGGCAAAAGGCCCCGGCAAAGUAGGCUACGAUAAACAGCUUCUUUGCCGUCUGUUUCCUGGUGGCUGACGGCAAAGACCCUUUGCCGUCUGCCGCGGACGGCAAAGAGAGCGGACGGCAAUAAUUGUGCUCUCAGUCCGUUAAGUGGCUAACGGCAGGCCUUUGCCGUCUGCCCGCGGACGGCAAACUUUCUAGUGUCUUUGCCGUCCGCCGUAUGAUGUCAUCUACAUGUCACCACAUGGCAGGCCUUUGCCGUCCGCCGCUGACGGCAAACUCAUUUACUCUUUGCCGUCUGCCACUGUAGGCAAAUUGACCAAAUGGGUCAGCUCCCAGGAAGCACAGCUGGAUGCCACGUGGCCUCUUUGCCGUCCGCGGCAGACGGCAAAGAGCCCGUUCCCGUCGGUGGCAGACGGCAAAGAGCCUGCAUAUUGGCUCUUUUUUCUGUUUUGUAUUAAAUCCAACAAUUUUCAACACAAAUAUAUAUGACAUAUAUAGAUAUAUUUCACAAGGCCAUUACAGAGCAAACAUAUAAGAUAUCCAACACAUAACUUCAUCAUACAUAGUUCCAUGCAUAGUUCCAUCAUACAUAGCAAGUUCAACAUAGAGGCAUCCAACCAUAUAUAUUACAAUAGUUUCAUCCAACGAUACAUGCAUAGUUCAACGAUACAAAAGAAACAGAGAAAGGGAUAAGGAGCACUCCAUCUAUGCAAGCUUUCGUCAAGUGAAUGAAAUCUGCAAAAUGAAAAAUAAGAAAGUUAGAAAUCGGUGACUAGAACAAGAAGAAUAGAACAAGAAGAAGACUAGAACAAGAAGAGUAUGUAAUUUAUGAGCUAACUUACGUGAAAUGGAUCAUAUAUGAGCUAACUAAGUUGAAAUGGGUCGUUUAUGAGCUAGCUAAGGUGAAAUGGAUCAUUUAUGAGCUAACUUUGUUGAAAUGGGUCGUUUAUGAGCUAACUAGGGUCAAAUGGAUCGUUUUUUAGGUAACUAAGGUGAAAUGGAUCUUUUUUAGCUCACUUAGGUCAAAUGGAUCAUUUAUGAGCUAACUUAGUUGAAAUGGAUCGUUUUUGAGCUAACUUUGUUGAAAUGGAUCAUUUAUGAGCUAAUUUAGUUGAAAUGGAUCUUUUUGAGCUAACUUAGGUGAAAUGGAUCAUUUAAGAGCUAAUUUAGGUGAAAUGGAUCGUUUUUAGCUAACUUGGUGAAAUGGUCGUUUAUGAGCUAAAUUAGUUGAAAUGGAUCGUUUAUGAGAUAACCUAGGUAAGAUGGGUCAUUUUGGAGUUAACCUAGGUGAAAUGGGCCAUUUUAAAGCUAACGUAGGUAAAAUGGAUCAUUUAGGAGCUAAUCUAGGUAAAAUGGGUCAUUUUUGAGCUAACUUGGAUGAACUGCAUCAUUUAUAAGCUAACCUAGGUAAAAUGGGUCAUUUUGGAGGAAAGAAGCUAACUCUAGGUCAUUAUGGUAAGCAUAUUGGAGGAAAUAAAGCUAAGUCUAGGUCUUUAUGCAUUUGUUAAGCAAAACACUAGAGAAACUUACCGUGAUCAGGGAGGUGUAGGAGCGGGGUGGCUAGUGCCGCUACCUGGAGAAGGAUCGUGCGAUGCGUUUCUGGAGUUAAGCUGCACCAAAGAUCAUUUCCAAUGUCUCGUUAGCAUUAUGACACUCAAAUGUUAAGACUAGCAAGUAAUGUCCAUUCAAAUUAAACUCACCGUGCUCCCAGGAGCAAUCACUGGCAUCGGCGGAGCGGGCUGACCGGACUUCUCGCACAUAGACUGCACAUUUGGUUUUCACAACAGAGUCAUACUAGUUAGUAAUGAGACUCAAAUGUUAAGACUAGCAAGUAAUCUGCAGAAGAAACUUACCACAAGGAGCUCGUACAUGGCCCUUAACUGCAUGUCAUUCCGUGCCCUCUCCUCCUCCAUCAUCUUUCUCGUCCUCUCCUCCAUCUCCCGCUGCCUCUCCGUCGCCUCCGCCAGAAGUUUCUCCGUUCUAUCUCUCUCAGUCUGUAUAGCAGCCUGCAACACCACUCACAUGACCAUUUGUAAUCAUUGAUGGAAGCGCACACAAUGUAAUGGAGAAAGAUAACUGAGUACGUAUCACUAACCUUGAUGGCGAGUUGUACUGGCCGUUCACGAGGCCUUAUCUCAGGAGCGGAGCUCGACUAGUGCGCCUUGAUCUCCGGGAGAGUGCUAGGACAAUGGAUAAGUCCAUCUCCAAUGGCUAUGGAACCAUGGGACCUCCCGCCACCAGAUAUCAUCACCAGCUCUGGAUCAAUGGGACCCUGGCUCGGGUUGAAGUCCUCCCCUUUCCUCCCCUUCCCCUCAUCUCUAUAUCUCACGAGCUUGUUGUGGGAGGAGAUGUUGGUGAAGUUGUUUGCAUCAUCGAGGUCAGACUGAGAGAAAGCCUUGACUUUCUUGAAAGAGGCAGUGUGGGCCAUGGCAUAUAGGUCGUACACCUUAUUGUGGCGUGCCUGAAAGAGAGAAACAAUGUAAAUUAGUAAUUAAAGGGCUCAAGCUAGCAUGAUGAAUGAAUUGCAUGAAUCAUGAAGCAAACCACAUACCCAGUUGCGCCCGAACUGAUAUAAGUUGGAGCUGCCUUGAUGGUGUGGCACACCUUCCAUUUGGGCACGUUUGUCCUUGGCCUCGUUGUGGAGGGCUAGCCAUUCUUUUGAGCACCACUCAUCGACCAACACCUCCCAACAAUCCAUCCGAUCCGCACACCAUCUCGGAGGCGCCUAAGUUAGCAAAUAGAAACUUGAGCGCUACGGCUAAGAAUUACUAAAUGAAGGAACUUAAGUAGAAGGCCUUAAGAAUUACCUUCAUGUACUGCUCCUUACUCAGGAACUUAUCGCGGCACGCCAGCUUGGUCUUCUUGAUACCACGCAAGGCGUAGUAGUCUCGAACAGCCUGCACCCGAGCAUCGUGCCGUAAGUUCUGGAGUAGGCGCUUGCAGACGUUCUCGAUAACAUGUGCCGCGUCCUCCUCGUAUCCCUCCUCACACCUGUAGAAUGUCUGCAAUCAAAUGAGACAAUAUUGAUUAGUACAAUUAAUAACUAGCUAGUUGAAGAUUUUUAAAUGUGUAAAGGAGAAAUUACCCAGAACUUUCUGAUCACCAUGUCUGCCCUCGUGUCGCACACGACACCGUCGAUAAUCUCAUCCGGCGGGGCCGGGGCAGCCACGUAGUGCUCCCAGCUCAAUCCAAGCUCUGGAAGCCGACCCUCACCAGGCAACAUGACAAACCCCGGGAAGUUUUGCCGGCAAAGAACUCCAAGGACGGAGUUGGGCCGGCGGACACUAUGAUGGUGGUCCCAACCCCUGCAGCAUGACAAGGCCAACGGAUUAGUUAUUUGAAGAAACGUGAAUGCACAAGGUACAAAAAUAUUAAAUGCACCUACGUACCUCUCCCCAUCAGGGAAAAUCAACCACCUCUGCUCGCGGGUCGCCGGCACGGACGGGAGCCGUGUAGCACCACGCUGGUAGACGGUGCCCCCCUCCUCCUCAAGAUCAGUCAGCUCCCCGCCAUCAUCAGCAUGGCCACUCGGCUCCUCGGGCUGAUCCGGCCAGGUACCCCAUCCGGACGUGUGCUCCUCCAGGGUCUCGUGGGCCGAACUCUCGUGGGCCGAAGGCCAGUCGACCCGAGGCUCGUGGGACCAAGACCCGUUGACCAGAGGCUCGUGGACCGGAGUCCGUGUAGCCUCCUCCUCGGACGAGUCCACCCUAGCAGUCACGUGCUCGGGUGAAACAGCUGGGGGUGGCGGCGAGGAUGGCGCCGUAGCAGUCACCCUACCUACUCUCCCACGACCACGUGCCCCACCUCCUCUCUUCCUACCUCGUCCCCUGCUGGACACCGCGGUCGACGAAGAAGGGCCCGGCGGUGUGGCCAUACUGUCCAGCAACGCUCGGCGGAGAGGUGCGUCUGGAAUGGAAGACCUCAGACCAUGCGCCGACGAAGAAGGGGCCUUGGCGCGCUCCCGACCAGCGCCCACCAUCUUUCAACACCUGCCAUGACAAACAGUAAACGAAAUUAGUACAACAUAAAAAAAAGACCGACAUGAAUAAUAAUAUGUGUAUCACUUAAGUGUAUCAUCAUCAAGUACAACAUAAAAAAAUUUAAUACCUGACACUACUAAUAAUCUCGAUCAGUAUCAUCAAUAAAUGCAUAAUCAUCAUCAUCACUAUAAUCAAUGACGAGCUCAUAGGGUUCAGUGGCAUCAACAUGUGGAAGGCCACCUUGACGUAAUCGGUCAAGCAAUGACAGGUCAUCCGCAGCAGUAACCUCUUCUUGUUCCGGCUCUUCUUGUUCCUCCUCUGGGGUGAUGUCGGAUUCACUGUCGCUGUCUACUUCAAUGUUUUGGGGUGAAGUAUAGCGGUUCUUGAAACGCUUUUUGGAAAGACGUGUCUCUUGGAAGAAUUCUCCUUCAUAUGUGUCUGGGUUAAUGUGAGGUUCAUAAUCCUCUUCCUUUGGGGGAGAUAGUCUAGCACGUGGCGGCACUUCAUAAACGACAUCCCAACCUUUCAGAUUUGGAUUAGUUUGGCAGGCCCACGGUAGAUAGAAUACUUGGGUCGCCUGUGAGCCGUAAUAUAGACAUCAGGAACAUCUAAAUGGGUGCUUUGGUUGAUUUCAACUAGCCCUAUAUGUUCAUGAGUCCUUCUAGUCUCCUUCGGCUGAAACCAAUAACAUUUGAAGACUACGACAUUCGGUGGGUUUUCACCAUAGAAUAGAAGUUCAUAAAUUGCUUCAACUCUCCCAUAAUACUCGAUACCUCCUUCGCCGAUAGCAGAUACACAACAAUUUGUAGACUUCCGGUCGGCCAUAGAUAGCUCUUUGCCAUAGGUACAAAAGCGAUACCCGUUGAUGUCGUAUUUGUCAAAUGAACGAACCUUAUAGUCAAAACCAUUAGCGACUUGUCUCAAUUCGGCGUCCAUAGACUCUGAAUUAGCCUACAAGUUUAAUAUGAAAGGAUUGUUGCAUUACGCACAAAUUAGCGAAUGAAACCAGGAUAGCCGCCUACAAAUUAGCCUACAAGUCUAAUAGAAAUUACCGUUUGUUUGAACCAAGAGAUGAAACCGGGAUAGCCGCCUCCUUGCUUUGCGAGAAGCUCAUACUCUUCGACAGAAUCCUUUUGGAUCACCGCUUCAUACGAGAAUAAGGCGACGUAUCGACUGUAUGAAAUAUCCAGGAAUAAGAGCAGUUCAAAGGAAAUAGAAGUUGCGAAACUAUGUACCGAGAACUUACUCGAUGUACGGCCGCACUUCUAUCAGGUUGUUGAAGAUAUACAACGAAAUGGUCCGCCAUUGUUCGUUAUCCAAAGAUACUGGAUUUGAAACACUGGCUGGUGCGAGAUUCCCUUUGAACUGGCUGAGGUUGGAUCCACCCUUUUUAGGGUCGUCAGCAUUGUACCGAGGCUUCGGAUUAUGCAAAUGACGAUUUUUGGCUUCGUAGUGUGCUGUCACGAAGUUUGCCGCCUCCUCAGUGAUGAAUGCCUCAGCCAUCGAUGCUUCAAUUCUACGUUUAUUUUUACAUUUUUGUCGAAGCGUCUUCUGCAUCCUCUCAGUUGGGUAGCACCAACGAUUUUGCACGGGCCCCCCAAAUCUUGCCUCGGUCGGGAGAUGCAAAAUCAAAUGUUGCAUUGGAUUAAAGAAGCCCGGUGGAAAGAUCUUCUCUAACUUGCAGAUCAACUCCGGCGCCAACUCUUCCAUUUCUUCUAGCACGCCAGGCGAUAGUUCUUUCGCACAAAGAACACGGAAGAAAUAGCUGAGUUCUGCCAGUACUAGCCAUUCAUCCUCAGGGAUGAAGCCACGCAACAUCACCGGCAUUACCCGCUCAAUCCAUAUGUGCCAAUCAUGACUCUUGAGACCAAAUAUCUUCAAUUUAUCAAGACUGGCUCCCCUCUGUAGAUUCGCUGCAUACCCAUCGGGGAACAUCAACAGCAUUUUCACCCACAAGAUAAUUUCCCUCAUAGCUGGCCUUCCAAGAUUGAACCAUGCCUUUGGCUUCGUCCAGUUCUGCUUUCCUUUCGGUUCUUUCAUGUUUUGUAACGGCCUAUCACAUAGCGCCUCCAGAUCGACUCUAGCCUUAGUAUUAUCCUUUGACUUCCCAUCUAUGCUGAACAAUGUACCAAAAAGUGCCUCGGCGAUAUUCUUCUUAGUGUGCAUCACGUCGAUGUUGUGUGGGCAAAGGAGGUCUUUGAAGUAAGGCAGAUCCCAUAAGCAUGUUUUGUGAGUCCAGGCGUGCUUAGAAUUAUACCCCUUGAAGUACCCUGGACGCUCUGGAUCUGGCUCGAGAGCGUUUAACUGAUCCAGGGUCUGUUGGCCUGUCAAUGCAGGUGGUGCAGAGUUUUUGACAACUCUACCUCUGAUGAAGUUCUUCUUGUCUUUCCUAAACUUAUGGUGAGGAUUCAGGAACUGUCUAUGCAUGUCGAAGCAAGAAAACUUGCGACCGGCCGGAAGCCAACAAAACUCAAGAGCUCCCUUGCAUGUGGGGCACGGGAACCUUCCAUGCACACACCAGCCAACGAAUAGCGCAUACGCCGGCAAGUCAUGCGUCGAGUACAUGUACCAGACACGCAUUAUGAAGUUCCGUUUGCUAUAGGCGUCGUAUGUCUUGAACCCAUUAUCCCAGGCUUCUUGCAAUUCGUCCUUAAGCGGUUGCAUGUACACAUUCAUAUUUUUCCCUGGAUAGUUGGGCCCUGGAAUUAUCAACGUCAGGAAAAUGUUCUUUCUUUGCAUAAUCUGUCCGGGGGGGAGAUUGAGUGGAAAGACAAAUACGGGCCAACAACUGUAUUGGGCUGCCGUGAUACCAAACACACUGAACCCAUCCGUGCUGAUGCCGACUCGAGGAUGCCUCGGAUCUGCCACUUUGUCACCAUGUAAUUCAUCAAACUUUUUCCAUGCAACACCAUCCGAUGUGUGUACAAUCAUCAGAUUCCCAUCUGCAUCUAGUUCGGUUCUUUUGCCCGUUUUGUGCCAUGUCAUCUGUCUGGCCGUCUCUUCGACCAUGAAAAGACGUUGAAGUCUUGGUACGAUUGGCAUAUACCGAAGAACACUAACGGGGAUUUUGGUCUGUGUCUUCUCACCCAUACCGUUGUCUACCACAACAUACCUGGAAGACUUGCAAAUGGGACAAUAGUUCAAGUCCGCAUAGUCAAGCCUAAACAAGACACAUCCUUUCUCACAGGCAUGUAUCUUAUCAUAGGGCAUCUUCAGUGCACGGAGGAUUUUGUCCGACUGGUACAGGUUUGCAGGCAUUACAUGGCCUUUGGGUAGAAAGCGUCCAAAUACUGUCAUCAUUGCAUCGUAGCAUUCUCUGCCCAAGUUGAACUGAGCCUUCAGAGCCAUUACUUGUGAGAUGGCAUCCAACUGACAAAGCUCAAUGUGCUCAUGGAGCGGACGUUUUGAAGACUCCAACAUUUCAUUGAAGGCCUUUGCAGAUUCCUCCAUCUCCUCGUCCGAAUCCCGAGCAUCAUCGAAGUCUUGCACCAUGUUUUCCAUCCCGGUACCAUGCUCGUCGGUGCGACGACGAUCCACCUCAGCUCGGUCACGUUGGGCAGACUCACCAUGAAAUGUCCACACCGUAUAAUCGGGCGUAAAACCACUCUUUUGCAGGUGUUUGCCCAUUUCAGCCUCUGUCCUCUUUUCCCAAUUGCCGCACCGUAAACAAGGGCACCAGGUUUUCCUCUGACCAUUUGCAAAUGCGGCUCGCACAAACCCCUUGGUUUUUGUGAACCAUUCAGUGCUCCAUUUGUUCUGACCAGUGUACAUCCACGCACGAUCACUCAUCUUGACUUUCAGAGCUACUAGACACACAACAAAUAUAUAUAUAUAUAUAUAUAUAUAUAUAUAUAUAAUUCACCAUGUAUAUAUUCAUCAGUUGAUCUACUUUUUCAAUUUUAUUACGUCCAUGCAACCUACACUCUAAUAGGUAAUGAUAGGUCCUAAUCCCACCCGAGUAUGUUUAGAUUGGGUUCAUUUUCCCAUGCUAUGCUCCGGAUCCUACGCAAAAUUUCGGCAGCACCUCCCCGCUGUUCUCCUGAUACACGUCUCUGCAAUAAACAGAGAGGAUGUGUACCCGGAGAACAACAGGGGAGGCAGUGACGAAAUUUAUGCGUCGGAUCCGGAGCAAAGCAUAUGGGAAAACGAACCCAAUCUAAAAUACUCGGGCUGUCCAUGGAUAGCGUUGGACAAUUCGAAAGAAUCAAGGUUAUAAAUAUGCAAAUGCAUGCAUAUUUAUAACUAUGACGCUUUCGAACGGGAGACACAUAUUGGUUACGCAUACUGAUGAUUCAAGACACAUAUAUAGCUAGCUAUCAAGUUUCAUUGAAAUAUAUCAAAUAAUUAAUGGGGGAGGAGGACAUGUCAUUUGUGCUCACCCACGAACGAAGGGGCAGAGCUCGUCAAACGCACGGCGAGGUCGUCGAACACCAAACCUCGCAGCGAUGAAACAACUGCACAUUUAAAACUACCCGAUCAACACAAUUAUAUAUGAUGUUUUUCAUAACAAAAUCGAAAAAUAUAUGACCUAACUAAUAAUUCACAAAUAUAUGACCCCGUCGGCUUCUGGAAGGCCAAAGAACACCUUUUCGGGAGGUGUCGGGGGUCGGGGUGUCGUGUCGGUGUCGGGGUGCCGUGUCGGGGUCGGGGUCUCGGGUCNNNNNNNNNNCUUGGCGCGCUCCCGACCAGCGCCCACCAUCUUUCAACACCUGCCAUGACAAACAGUAAACAAAAUUAGUACAACAUAAAAAAAAGACCGACAUGAAUAAUAAUAUGUGUAUCACUUAAGUGUAUCAUCAUCAAGUACAACAUUAAAAAAUUUAAUACCUGACACUACUAAUAAUCUCGAUCAGUAUCAUCAAUAAAUGCAUAAUCAUCAUCAUCACUAUAAUCAAUGACGGGCUCAUAGGGUUCAGUGGCAUCAACAUGUGCAAGGCCACCUUGACGUAAUCGGUCAAGCAAUGACAGGUCAUCCGCAGCAGUAACCUCUUCUUGUUCCGGCUCUUCUUGUUCCUCCUCUGGGGUGAUGUCGGAUUCACUGUCGCUGUCUACUUCAAUGUUUUGGGGUGAAGUAUAGCGGUUCUUGAAACGCUUUUUGGAAAGACUUGUCUCUUGGAAGAAUUCUCCUUCAUAUGUGUCUGGGUUAAUGUGAGGUUCAUAAUCCUCUUCCUUUGGGGGAGAUAGUCUAGCACGUGGCGGCACUUCAUAAACGACAUCCCAACCUUUCAGAUUUGGAUUAGUUUGGCAGGCCCACGGUAGAUAGAAUACAUGGGUCGCCUGUUGAGCCGUAAUAUAGACAUCAGGAACAUCUAAAUGGGUGCUUUGGUUGAUUUCAACUAGCCCUAUAUGUUCAUGAGUUGUUCUAGUCUCCUUCGGCUGAAACCAAUAACAUUUGAAGACUACGACAUUCGGUGGGUUUUCACCAUAGAAUAGAAGUUCAUAAAUUGCUUCAACUCUCCCAUAAUACUCGGUACCUCCUUCGCCGAUAGCAGAUACACAACAAUUUGUAGACUUUCGGUCGGCCAUAGAUAGCUCUUUGCCAUAGGUACGAAAGCGAUACCCGUUGAUGUCGUAUUUGUCAAAUGAACGCACCUUAUAGUCAAAACCAUUAGCGACUUGUCUCAAUUCGGCGUCCAUAGACUCUGAAUUAGCCUACAAGUUUAAUAUGAAAGGAUUGUUGCAUUACGCACAAAUUAGCGAAUGAAACCGGGAUAGCCGCCUACAAAUUAGCCUACAAGUCUAAUAGAAAUUACCGUUUGUUUGAACCAAGAGAUGAAACCGGGAUAGCCGCCACCUUGCUUUGCGAGAAGCUCAUACUCUUCGACAGAAUCCUUUUGGAUCACCGCUCCAUACGAGAAUAAGGCGACGUAUCGACUGUAUGAAAUAUCCAGGAAUAAGAGCAGUUCAAAGGAAAUAAGGGUGGGUGUGGUGUCAGGGUGUCGGUGUCGGGGUGUCGUGUCGGUGUCGGGGUCGGGGUCUCGGGGUCGGGGUGUCGGGUCGGGGUGCCGGGUNNNNNNNNNNNNNNNNNNNNNNNNNNNNNNNNNNNNNNNNNNNNNNNNNNNNNNNNNNNNNNNNNNNNNNNNNNNNNNNNNNNNNNNNNNNNNNNNNNNNNNNNNNNNNNNNNNNNNNNNNNNNNNNNNNNNNNNNNNNNNNNNNNNNNNNNNNNNNNNNNNNNNNNNNNNNNNNNNNNNNNNNNNNNNNNNNNNNNNNNNNNNNNNNNNNNNNNNNNNNNNNNNNNNNNNNNNNNNNNNNNNNNNNNNNNNNNNNNNNNNNNNNNNNNNNNNNNNNNNNNNNNNNNNNNNNNNNNNNNNNNNNNNNNNNNNNNNNNNNNNNNNNNNNNNNNNNNNNNNNNNNNNNNNNNNNNNNNNNNNNNNNNNNNNNNNNNNNNNNNNNNNNNNNNNNNNNNNNNNNNNNNNNNNNNNNNNNNNNNNNNNNNNNNNNNNNNNNNNNNNNNNNNNNNNNNNNNNNNNNNNNNNNNNNNNNNNNNNNNNNNNNNNNNNNNNNNNNNNNNNNNNNNNNNNNNNNNNNNNNNNNNNNNNNNNNNNNNNNNNNNNNNNNNNNNNNNNNNNNNNNNNNNNNNGUGGCGGGCGGUGGCGGCGGCGGUGGGGUGGGAAGUGGUGGCGGGGCGCGUCGGCGAGGAGAGAACAGAGUAACGGGCGGGGGGUACGGGCCGUUAGGUAGUGUCCUCUUUGCCGUCCGCCUCCCUUUGCCGUUCGCCCUUUUGCCGCUUUGCCGUCCGCUGGCAGACGGCAAAGAGGUGGGCCGUUAAGUUUAUUCCAAACGGGCGGGGGGUGGGGGCCACCUCUCUCUUUGCCGUCCGCCAGCGGACGGCAAAGAUUAUUUGCCGUCUGCUGGCAGACGGCAAAGAGCUCGCGGACGGCAAAGAGCUUCUUUGUCGUCUGCCAUUUCUUUGCCGUCUGCUUUUGGGUAGCUGAGGGCAAAGAGCUUCUUUGCCGUCAGCUAGCAGACGGCAAAGAGCUGGCAGAUGGCAAAUUAGCUGAUUCCAGUAGUGAUUUAAGCCGGUCAGGCAAUUCCUUCGGCGGUUUAAUGAAGAGAGGCGGAAAGCUAUUGGUGAAGAGGUGGCCCGGCUCUUGGCGGCCGGGUUUAUUGUUGAAGUCUUUCACCCGGAGUGGUUAGCUAACCCGGUGCUCGUACUCAAGAAGAACGGCACCUGGCGGAUGUGUGUGGACUACACGGACUUAAACAAGGCGUGUCCGGCUGAUCCUUUUGCCCUUCCCCGUAUUGAUCAAAUCAUUGAUGCUACGGCGGGUUGCGAGCGCUUAAGUUUCUUGGAUGCUUAUUCUGGAUACCAUCAGAUUAAAAUGGCAGUUAAGGACCAGGAGAAGACGGCGUUCAUCACUCCCUUUGGAGCCUUCUGCUAUGUAUCUAUGCCCUUUGGACUCAAGAGUGCACAGGCGACUUACCAGCAUUGCGUGCAGAACUGUCUUCAUAACCAGAUUGGGCGCAAUGUUCAUGCUUAUGUGGAUGAUAUUGUGGUUAAAUCCAGGAAGGAGGAAACCUUGAUAGAUGAUCUGAGGGAAACCUUUGAUAAUCUCCGGGUCUACAAGAUGAUGCUUAACCCGGCCAAGUGUGUUUUUGGUGUUCCUGCAGGCAAGCUCUUGGGUUUUUUUUGGUUUCUGACAGAGGCAUUGAAGCUAACCCGGAGAAGAUCAAGGCCAUCACCUCCCUGGCUAAGCCGGCGUGUAUAAACGACGUCCAGCGCUUGGCGGGUCGUAUUGCUGCUUUAAGCCGGUUUAUAAACGUUUGGGUGAGAAGGCCAUGCCAUUAUAUCAGUUGAUGAGGAAAACUGACGACUUUGUCUGGAAUGAUGCAGCAAAUACUGCUUUUGAGGAUUUGAAGAGGCAGCUGGCAGAGCCCCCAGUCCUUGCUGCUCCGGUUGACAAGGAGCCUUUAUUGCUGUAUGUGGCUGCUAACGCACGAGCCGUUAGUGUGGCGGUGGUGGUGGAGCACAAGGAAGAGGGCAAGGAGCAUCCGGUUCAGCGGCCGGUUUAUUACGUCAGCGAAGUGCUCAUUGAGUCUAAACAGCAGUAUCCGCAUUGGCAGAAGCUUGUUUAUGGUGUGUUCAUGGCAAGCCGAAAGCUUAAGCAUUAUUUCCAGAGUCACCCCAUCACUGUGGUCAGUUCUGCCCCCCUUGGAGAUAUCAUUCAAAACAGAGAGGCGACGGGGAGAGUGGCUAAGUGGGCUAUAGACCUCGGGCCUCAUGGUCUGAAAUACGUCCCACGCACUGCUGUUAAGUCUCAAGCCUUGGUGGAUUUCAUCAACGAUUGGACAGAGUUACAAGUGCCCGAACAAAAGCCGGAUAACACAUAUUGGACUAUUCACUUCGAUGGGUCCAGGCAAUUGGAGGGCUCGGGGGCUGGAGUCGUGUUGGCUUCCCCUAAGGGUGACAAGUUCCAUUAUGUGCUGCAGUUGAUGUUUCCUUGCACUAACAAUGCGGCUGAGUACGAGGCUUUGCUCCACGGUCUUCGGAUGACUAAGGAAAUGAGCCUGAGCCGGGUAAGGUGCUUCGGCGACUCAGAUUUGGUGGCUCAACAAGUAUCAGGCAAGUGGGAUUCCAAGGACCCUCUCAUGGCGGCUUAUCGACGUGAGGUUGAUGCUAUUGCUGGACACUUUCAGGGUUACCAAGUAGAGCACAUCGAUCGCAGGAAGAACGAGGCGGCUGAUGCUUUAAGCCGGCUGGGCUCUCAGCGAAAGCCGGUGCCGCCUAAUACUUUCCUAGACGUCUUGCAUAACCCUUCUGUUAAGUUGCUUACAGAGGAAGACUUGGCUGUCCCUGACCCGGAGGCACAGUUGGUGGCGGCUCUCCACAUCACCCCGGACUGGACGAUGCCUUACUUGGCUUACAUAACCCGGGGAGAUUUGCCUGAGGAUGAAACUUUGGCCAGACAAAUAGCCCGGCGGUCUAAGUCAAUGGUUGUUAUCAAUGGUGAGCUGCAUCGCCGCAGUGUUACGGGAGCGUUCCAGCGUUGUGUCUCCCCUGAGGAAGGUCAGGAGAUCUUGCGCGAGAUUCAUGAAGGGGAUUGUGGCCAUCAUGCCGGCUCAAAAUCCCUUGUGGCCAAGGCUUUUCGUCAUGGUUUUUAUUGGCUGACGGCUCAUGCUGAUGCGGAGGACUUGGUCAGUAAAUGUGAUGGUUGCCAAAGGUUCUCGCGACGGGCUCAUGUGCCGGCUCAGGAGCUGAGGAUGAUCCCAAUUACUUGGCCCUUUGCGGUCUGGGGGCUUGAUAUGGUUGGGCCUUUUAAAAGGUCCAAGGAUAAGAAGACCCACCUCUUGGUGGCAGUUGACAAAUUCACAAAGUGGGUUGAAGCAGAGCCAGUUAGCAGGUGUGACGCAGCCACGGCGGUUCAGUUCAUGAAAAGGGUGAUCUUUCGCUUUGGUUUUCCACACAGCAUUAUAACUGACAAUGGUACCAAUCUAUCCAAAGGCGCCAUGGAGGAGUUUUGUCAACGAGAGCAUAUUCGACUUGAUGUUUCAUCAGUGGCUCACCCUCAAUCCAAUGGUCAAGCUGAGAGGGCUAAUCAGGAGAUUCUGAAAGGCAUCAAACCCCGGCUUUUGGUCCCUUUGCAACGGAGGCCGGGUUGUUGGGUGGAGGAGUUACCUUCCGUGUUGUGGAGCAUCAAUACUACUCCUAACAGGUCUACGGGUUUCACGCCUUUCUUCAUGGUUUAUGGAGCAGAAGCAGUCCUCCCCAGUGACAUCCGUCAUGACUCGCCUCGAGUGGCGGCUUAUGUUGAGGCGGAUAAUGAACAGGCGCACCAAGAUGCUCUCGACUUGUUGGAUGAACAGCGUGAUAUGGCAGCAGCUCGCUCAGCGAUUUACCAACAAGACCUGCGCCGUUACCACAGUCGCCGGGUUAAAUCCCGGGUCUUCCAGGAAGGUGACCUGGUGCUCCGGCUCAUCCAGGAUCAGACAGAUACACACAAGCUAUCCCCGCCUUGGGAAGGACCCUUUGUUGUCAGCAAGAACUUGCACAACGGGUCAUACUACCUUAUCGACGUUCGGGAGCAUAAAGAUUCACGUAAGUCGGAGGAGGAGACCCGCCGGCCGUGGAACAUAGCUCAGCUUCGGCCUUAUUACACUUGAGCCGCUGGCUCUCGUAAUGUACAUAUUUCCAUAAGUCAUGUAUAUAUUAUGAUAAGCAAUAAAGCAGGACCUCUAUCCUUUUUUCUCCUCCAAAGGUAAAUGUGUUGUUUCUAUUACAAGAUCACGUGGUAACUUGGAGGUGGAUCCGGCUUAUGAUCGUAUUCGAAUCUAGCUGUACGCAAUAUAGUCACUUGGGGGCUUCCUGUUCAAACAUAGGUCGUAUUCGAACCAAAGAGAACAUAGCUGUCGAUACCCAUUUGUAUGGCAAAGUGCCGAGCUCAUUGGGGAAGUUUUCUUUGAUCAUAUUUGAAUCAUAGUUUAACCCCUUUGGGAACCGACGUGGAUCGUAUUCGAAUCAGCGUUGUUAAACAAUUCUUAAAGUCAUUUGGGGGCUUCCUGUUCAAACAUGGGUCGUAUUCGAACCAAAGAGAACAUAGCUGUCGGUACCCUCUUGAUUGGCAUCGCCACACCCACUGGGGGCUAUAUGAUCGCAUCCGAAUCUUAGCAUAACCCCUUUGGGACGGGUCUCUGGUCGUAUUCGAACCGGAAGCCCCUGAGUUUUUUCUGAUUUACAAAAAGUUCUUCUAAUUAUUUCAAUAGUGUGCACGGCGGGUCUCACUUUGCCGGCUUAACUUUGAUUUACAGUACUAGUCGAACACAAUCGGCGCUAUUAAAACUGGUAAACCGGAAUUGAGGUACCAACCUUCUUACCCGGGUUAUCUAAGCCGGAAAUGUGCUUGCAGGCCGGUAAGUGUGUUGUUACGGUUAUAUCAAGGACAUAAUUGAAGACCAGUCUUUUGUGAUUCAUCUUCCGGGUUAUAUAAGACUAUGAUUCUCCGUGCGGUAAGCCGCCUAGAGACUUGUGAUUUGUCUUUCUAUGCAGGAUAGUUAAAGACAGCUAUUUAAGCUUAAGGAAUAUGAAUGAUCGAGUAUGACCCGGAGAAAUAUACGGAAGCAACUUCAAUGGAAUUCAGCAUUCAACGUGUGCACGAUGGCACCACAAAGUUAAAGUGUUGGUCCUAUUCUAUUACAAGACUCAUUGAGUCCAAAAGGGUGAAGCAUUGUUUAAAUAAGCCGCCUACAGAGUUAAGAUGCUUGCUGGGUUGAAGCUUCCGGCUCAUCCCUCUCCGCUCCUCCGGUUGUUCCCAAGACCUGGAAAGUUGACGACUUCCAGUCAAUGCCGCUCAGAGCUUCAAAUUGAGCUUCCUCGUCAAUUAACCCGGCCGGGUCAAUUUCCGGGGCAAAGGUGUGCUUACGAGUCGGCGGGACUAAGUUGAUGGCUUCGUAACGCGGAGUGGGGAUCCUCUGAUUUUCUGCAUCAUAACCCGGCUGGUACUUGGUUAGACCUGUGUCAUUUCCAAUGAGGGUGGCCACCGGGCGCACGAUCUUCACGCAGGCUGCAAAGUCCUUUUGGUCGAAGGGUGUGCCGUCUUCCUUCAAGCUGGGAUAGCCGAGGGCAAUGUCCGCCGGGUCUAGUUCUAGAAGGAACGCCUUGGCCCGGCUCAAAGCAGCUAUGGCUCCGGCUCUUGCAGAGGCUUGCCGCAGCUCUUGGACCCGCUGAGGAAGAACGGCAACUCGGCAAAGAACUUCUGCCAGGUGAUUCGGCACCACAUUGGAUAGGGCCACCACGGCCAAGGCGCGCUGUGACCCGGUGUAGAGUUGCUCCACCAGGGUGUACACGGCCUUCAAGUUCGUCAGCAAGCUUUGGUUGAGGUUGGCGCUUCUUGGACCUGUUUAACGGAGUAGAGUAAGCCGCUGGCAAUGAUGGGAGUUACGAGACAUAAGGAUUGUAAACUUGAUGAAAGCCGGUGGGCUACUUACCGAAGAUGGCAGUGACCAUCUGUGACACAUGGCGCUUUAAGCCGGAGAGCUCGGCGGUUUUCUCUGUCCGAGCCUUCUCCGCCUGUUUGGCCCGGCUCACUAGAGUAGCCUUUUCUUCGGCCCAAGUUCUCCGUUCAGCUUCAAAGUCCUUUUUCAGCUUCUCUUGAGCAGCAAUACUGGACACAAAUUUGGCGUUGGCCUUCCGGGUCUCAGUUUCCUGCGUCCUUAGGCGGGUCUUCAGAUCAGAGAUGUCAGCCUCCAACUUCUUGCAAGCAGCCUGCACAAUUUCCGGGUUAUAAUAUGAACAAUCAUUUAAAGUCCCAAGCGCUUUCCAAGCAAAGACACUUGGCACUUGGGGGCUAAUGCAUAUCGAAAAGUUUCUAUCUACAAACUACCGGUUCAUGGAAGUAAGUCGGAAAUUAAGUCUACAACAUAUUCUAUCAUAAGUUGUAGACUUGGGGGCUAGUAAGGUAAAGAUGAUUAGGCAGUAAGCAGAAGAGUGGUACCUCAGACUUCUGCUGUAUCUGAUGCACCAUAUUGAUUUCCAAAUCCCGGCUCUUGUGCACUUGGUUCACAUAGCCGGAGACAAUCUCUCCGACGCUCAAGUUUGUGUAGUCGCUGAGGUCCAGAGUGGCCCGGUGGCGCUCUAGCAACUCCUCCUUGGCGGAGCACUUGGCCAGUGCAGUGGGUCUCCCCGGCUCAACAAAUUCCGUCCGGGUGAUUACCACGUCCGGGUCAUCGGCCGGCUGAGCCGGGCUGGAGGUCUCUGGGUUAGCAGAAGACUCUGCGGUUGGCUUAUCGGUUGGAGCAGCGGCUUCAGGAGUAGAGGCAACUGGCGGUUCUUGCUGUGACCUCCGGUUCAGGCAAGUCCGGGUCUUCGACCGGCUUGUUCCUCUUCGCCCUCUUGCUGAGCUUUGCCUGGGCACUGAAAGGACAACAAAGGUUAGUACAAAAGUAUGAGUAAAGAUAAGAACAACAAGAGAUGGUCAUCAUUACCCGGGUACGGUCUUGAAGGCCGGCAGGUUUCAUUGCAUCGAGUCACCAGAGGAAGGUGACGUUUCCUGAUAAUUCAAGUCAGAAGAAUUGAGAGGUUGACGUAUAACACCCGCCAGAGGAUGAAAAGGAUAUAAGUUGGAGAUAACCUCGGUCCGGCGCUUCCUUGAUGUCUCCGGUAAGCCGGAAGAUAGGUCAGCAUCCUUGUUGGUCCGGGUGUGCCGCCGGCUCUCAUGAAUCUGUUGCUUCAAAAGAAAUUGAGGAUCUUGAUAAGCUAAAGGAUGUGAAAACCUUACUUUCCGGGUUACCCUUCGUACUUUUAGCCUUGGCAAGGGCUCCGAGUCGGAGGAAAGUGUCAUUACCUCUUCAACCACCGGGUUGCUUGCUCCGGUGUCAUCCUGUUGGUAAACAAGUAUUGAUAAGAUGGACAGAAAUAAAUGACAAAUACGACAAGAGUCUACAAAUUCAGGGUUACCUCUGACUCGGAGCUGUCGCUUAGCUGCAUCAGCUCUGAAGCAGUAGGCCUACUUCCCUUCUUGCGGGGAGCGGUUCUCUUGGCGGCUUUCUUGGCCUUCCUGGCCUUCCUGGCCUUCUUGGCCGCUUCAUGGUCAUAUUUGACCUUCCAGAAUUUGUCAUCAGCCUGAAAAAUACAAUGACGAUUUCUUAAAGAUUUAGAUGAAAGCUAUCUACAGAAGAAAAUAAGAGGUUCAGAUCAGCGGCUUACCGCUGGGGCCGGGUUAGUCUUGCAGAACGGGCUUAAGCCGGUCCUCCCGCAGUCUGCCAAGCUCUCGUUCAAAAGAGCCUUGGUCAUUUCCUCAGCAACGUCUUCAGGAAGAUCGUUGCGGCUGUGUCUCAGGGGGUCAUCUUUCCGGCCCGUGUACUCGCACAUUAAGCCGGGGCGGCGGCUUAAGGGGAUCACCCGCCAUGAGAUCCAGACUCGGACCAGGUCAAUUCCAUAGAGACCAUUGCCCAGGAGAGCCUUGAUCCUGUUAAUGGUGGGGAGCAGAGGUUGGCGCUCUGCUUGAGUUAGCUUGUCUGACAGAGGGUGUGUUGGUUCCAGACGCGAGGGGCGAAAGCCGGGCAGCGGGCUCUCAUCAGCCAGCGAUGUGUCUUGGCAAUAGAACCACGUCUGCUUCCAGUCCUUUGGGUGGCUUGGCGGCUCGGCGUAAGGGAAAAGGCAGUCUCUCCGUCGCUGAAUGGAGAUGCCACCAAGUUCCAAGCUUGGCCCGUUGGCGCACUCGUUCUGACGGUUCAGGUAGAAGAGCUCUCUGAAGAGCAGCAGGCUGGGUUCCUCUCCAAGGUCAAAGAAAUUCAGUACAUCCCUGAAGAACUUUGAGUCGGGCGAUGCGAAGCCCCAGCUCAUGUGAUCCGCAAAUAUUACCACCUCCCCGUCCUUUGGCUGUGGUCUCUCCUCUGACGGGUCAGGGGCGCGGUAAGACAUGGCGUCCUUCUUGGGCAGGUAACCCGUCUUCACAAAGUCUGCUAAGGUUUCGUCGGUGACGUUGGACCUCAUCCAAUUGCAAGUGAUGGGUGCUUUAGGAGCUUUGGGACGCAUGGUGAAAGUCGGAAGCCUAUGAUAAAAGGAAACAUGCCGGUUUAAUUAUAAGCCGGGGGAAAUUUACAGUUCAAUGUUAAAGUGGCGGCUUAUGGAGGGGACUAAUGACAUAUAUCUAGGUGCAUCGGGCUAUCUAAGCCGCUGGAAGUAUUGAGAGUAAUUCGAUUGUCUACGACCUUAUCACAGAUGAGCCGGAAAAUUCUAUGGCGCAUGGCCUCCUUUGAGCCGGAAAAUUCUACGGCGCGUGGCUUCUUUAAACCGGAAAUGUAAACCGCCAUGGCUCAACGGGUGCAGUUUUUUACUAAGUGUGGUGAAAACAGGUUUCGCACAUUGCAGUAACUAAUUUGGAUCAAAACGGUCGGCUGAAAAGGAAAAUUUCUAGACCUAAAACCGAUGCAGAGGAAGUUCAUAAGCUCGGAACGAGCUCUUUUUGUAGACAGAAGGGAUCUACUAGCAUAAAAAUGAGUACGAGACCACUACCGCAGGAGUUCUACCCUAUUUCCGGAUCAAAAGGGGUCACGGUGGAAGAACUGUGAAGAACGCGGGAUGAACUACGAAGAACAGAGGAAGAACUACAGAACCCUAAUGCGGAUCUGCCCUAUGGAGUAGCGAGGACUUACCGGCGCUGAACAGAUGCGGAGGUUGCCGCCGUUUGUCUGGACCGAUUCAGGGUGAUGCAGCGGCCGAGGUUGACAAAGACCGGGGGCGCGGCGGCGGCGGCGGAGUUCGAGCUCUCGGGCGACAGAGGAAGAAGACGAAGAAGAGAGGAGUGAAUGGAGGCAAUGGGUCGGGCUAUUUAUAAGGGCCAGACUCAUAAGUGGGCGCGAGAAACAAGGAGGCCACGACGCGGUUAUCUCACCAUAAAAUGCCUCGAUUUUUGGGAUGGCAGUAUAGAUAAGAUCCGUUGCGGAUAUGGCGGAGUAAAAAAUGGACUUAAUGGAAGAUGACAUCACGGCGGAUCACCCGGAAUCAAGAGGAUGACGUCACGCCGGGUUAUGGCCUUCACACAAUCGUAAGCCGGAGAUUUUCUAUCGAAAGGAUUGAAGAUUGACAUGAGCCGGCUCAAAUCAAUCUGGGGCCUAAUGUUGAGGAUAUAGACCUUAGAGUCACCCACCCGGUGGGGCCGGGUUACUCAUAAGGGUCAUCGCCUGAAGCCCGGCGCCAAGCUUGAAGACGGUGGGCCAAAGAUGGGCUUAAGACCCGGUGACGGCUUAAGGCCCGUAGUCACAACCGCCUUUAGACAGAACUUGUAGUAUAAGGCAAGGAUAGUUGAGAGUCCGAGCCGGACACUCUUAUGAGCCGGCCGGGACUCUGAAAGCCGCUGGGUGUCAGCCUCUCUAUAUAAAGGGACGACCCGGCAGCGGUUUAGGGACAAGGAAGAUCUCAUCGAGAGCCAAGCCUAGCAAUUAAGCUCCCUGGUCCUCGAAACCCUAAUCAAUACCACCUCAACUGGACGUAGGCUUUUACCUUCACCGUAAGGGGCCGAACCAGUAUAACCCUCGUGUUUCUUGUCCCGUUUAACCCCUUCAAGCUUCCUAGUUGCGAUGGCUCCACGACUAAGUCCUAGCUCGAGGACAUCUGCCGUGAUAAUUCCACGACACCGCUGGAGCCCCGAACGCCACCGCCCGCCGCCCCACGACAUCGCCCGUCGCCUCCCCGAGCCCCGCCGCCCCUCGCCGCACCCCCGAGCCCCACCGGAGUUGCCCCGACGAGGUAGCCGCAGCAGCCGCCGACCGUCCAGUUUUUUUCAAAAAACCGCUUCGGUUUAUUUUUUUUAGAACCCUAGGUUUAUUUUUUUAUGAUCGGUUCAUUUCUUUUCUUCGGUUUAGUUUGUUAGUGAACGUUCACCGAUCUGUUCGUUUUAACGAACGUGUUCGUUGGUUAGUCGCUGUUAGCGAACAUGCGUGCAGUUGAUGAGUGCUUAUUGUAUGCUUGUUUGUUUGCGAUAGAGUACCCGGAGUGCGCCGCUUGCUACUUCGAAUCUCUAGGUUUCACGGAUCAUCAGCAAGGCAAGUAACACUUUGAUCAUAUCUCUUUACUACCCAGUUUUAUUGCAUUAGAUCAACCCUCAAACAUUGCAUGGUUAGGAUCUAAUUAAAUUGUGGGAAUUGGGAAGUAGUUGAGGUAGUACCUAUUACCUGUUUAUUAUCAAACCCUUGGGAGUUACUUCUGCGUUGCUUAUAUCGCUAUGCUAUGCUCGUAGACGUGGAUUGGGUUUGAGAGAUAUUCACGACAGAUGUGAGAUUGUUAAUUAAUGGUUUACUUAAGGUGGCAACUAAACUCACAUCUGGGUGGAUUGAGGUACCUGGGUAUUCCAGGAUUGCCUGUGUUUUUCUUUUGGACCUCCACCCAGGUUCAAAGGGAUCAUGAGAUUAUUCAUGCUAGAAACUUCCGUGUGCAGCCGCAAGCUAUUAUGGUCUCUAGCAUAGUCGAGUAAGUUGUGGGAAACCUUUCCAUGAUAGGCUAGCAGAUGUAGGGGAUUGUAGGUGUAUCGGCCUAUCUAUCGGUUAAGGGGACCUCUUCGGAAAGACUGUGUCUCGGUCAUCCGUUUCUCAAACAUCAUGUAGUGUGAGAAUCAAGCGGAGGCGAUCGAGUCUUGUGGGAAAAGUUUACAAACCUCUGUAGAGUAUAUAAACUAAUCAUGGUUAGCCGUGUCCCCGGUUAUGGACGUUUUGAGUAUCUAGUAUCUGGAUUAUCAUGUGAAUCUCAUCACCAUGUUACUUUAAUUAAUUUUGUUGGGUUAAUGAUGAUAACUUAAUUGGGAUUGAGAUGCUGUCAACCAUCUCAAUGUUUAACAACCACCAUGAUAGUUAAAUAAAAUUUAUUCCUUUGCAGUAGGGAAAAAUUGGCUUUUCGCAAAACAGUAACCAUAGAGCUUUCCACAAGCCAAAUAUGCAAGUAG